Molecule: ribosomal RNA, 292 nt
Filed under: uncultured prokaryote
Description: partial 16S ribosomal RNA
Rfam family: Bacterial small subunit ribosomal RNA
Source: RNAcentral
GUGCCAGCCGCCGCGGUAAUACUGAGGGUGCAAGCGUUAAUCGGAAUUACUGGGCGUAAAGCGCGCGUAGGCGGUUUGUUAAGUCAGAUGUGAAAUCCCUGGGCUCAACCUGGGAACUGCAUUUGAUACUGGCAGGCUAGAGUAUGGUAGAGGGAAGUGGAAUUCCGGGUGUAGCGGUGAAAUGCGUAGAUAUCCGGAGGAACAUCAGUGGCGAAGGCGACUUCCUGGACCAAGACUGACGCUCAGGUGCGAAAGCGUGGGGAGCAAACAGGAUUAGAUACCCCUGUAGUCC